RNAcentral lists this non-coding RNA (20 nucleotides) under Arabidopsis thaliana (thale cress). The record is from RNAcentral. Lineage: Eukaryota; Viridiplantae; Streptophyta; Magnoliopsida; Brassicales; Brassicaceae.
CGUUGUGGCCGUGGAGACCU